This 490-nucleotide ribosomal RNA is filed under the name uncultured bacterium. RNAcentral's name for it is "partial 16S ribosomal RNA". It matches the Rfam family "Bacterial small subunit ribosomal RNA", at positions 28 to 506 of the family's 1533-position model. The record is from RNAcentral.
GAUGAACGCUGGCUACAGGCUUAACACAUGCAAGUCGAGGGGAAACGACGGGGAAGCUUGCUUCCCCGGGCGUCGACCGGCGCACGGGUGAGUAACGCGUAUCCAACCUGCCUCUGACUGAGGGAUAACCCGUCGAAAGUCGGCCUAAUACCUCAUGGCAUCGUCUGCGGGCAUCCAACGACGAUUAAAGAUUUCAUCGGUCAGAGAUGGGGAUGCGUCUGAUUAGCUUGUUGGCGGGGUAACGGCCCACCAAGGCGACGAUCAGUAGGGGUUCUGAGAGGAAGGUCCCCCACAUUGGAACUGAGACACGGUCCAAACUGCUACGGGAGGCAGCAGUGAGGAAUAUUGGUCAAUGGGCGAGAGCCUGAACCAGCCAAGUAGCGUGCAGGAUGACGGCCCUAUGGGUUGUAAACUGCUUUUAUGCGGGGAUAAAGUGAGGGACGUGUCCUUCAUUGCAGGUACCGCAUGAAUAAGGACCGGCUAAUUCCGU